This 254-nucleotide ribosomal RNA is filed under the name uncultured bacterium. RNAcentral's name for it is "partial 16S ribosomal RNA". It matches the Rfam family "Bacterial small subunit ribosomal RNA", at positions 524 to 776 of the family's 1533-position model. The record is from RNAcentral.
UACGUAGGGUCCAAGCGUUAUCCGGAAUCACUGGGCGUAAAGCGUUCGUAGGCGGGUGCUUAAGUGAGAUGUGAAAGCGUGUGGCUCAACCAUACAGCCUGCGUCUCAUACUGGGCGCCUGGAGGAAGGCAGAGGCAAGUGGAAUUGGCAGUGUAGCAGUGAAAUGCGUAGAGAUGCGGAGGAACACCGAUGGCGAAGGCAGCCCCCUGGGCUAGCACUGACGCUCAGGCACGAAAGCGUGGGGAGCAAACAGG